This 112-nucleotide ribosomal RNA is filed under the name Caerostris darwini. Lineage: Eukaryota; Metazoa; Arthropoda; Arachnida; Araneae; Araneidae. The record is from RNAcentral.
UAUGGCCGUACCAUGCUGAAUAUACCGGUUCUCGUUAGAUCACCGAAGUUAAGCAUCAUUGGGCGCGGUCAGUACUUGGGUGGGUGACCACUUGGGAACACCGCGUGCCGUU